RNAcentral lists this ribosomal RNA (492 nucleotides) under uncultured bacterium. RNAcentral describes it as "partial 16S ribosomal RNA". It matches the Rfam family "Bacterial small subunit ribosomal RNA", at positions 29 to 507 of the family's 1533-position model. The record is from RNAcentral.
AUUGAACGCUGGCGGCAUGCUUUACACAUGCAAGUCGAACGGUAACAGGCCUUCGGGUGCUGACGAGUGGCGAACGGGUGAGUAAUGCAUCGGAACGUGCCCAGAGGUGGGGGAUAACGCAGCGAAAGCUGUGCUAAUACCGCAUGUGAUCUGAGGAUGAAAGCGGGGGACCAGGCAGCAAUGUUUGGCCUCGCGCCUUUGGAGCGGCCGAUGUCAGAUUAGGGAGUUGGGGGGGUAAAGGCCUACCAAGCCGACGAUCUGUAGCUGGUCUGAGAGGACGACCAGCCACACUGGGACUGAGACACGGCCCAGACUCCUACGGGAGGCAGCAGUGGGGAAUUUUGGACAAUGGGCGCAAGCCUGAUCCAGCAAUGCCGCGUGCGGGAAGAAGGCCUUCGGGUUGUAAACCGCUUUUGUACGGAACGAAAAGGCUCUGGCUAAUACCUGGGGCUGAUGACGGUACCGUAAGAAUAAGCACCGGCUAACUACGUG